RNAcentral lists this ribosomal RNA (1024 nucleotides) under uncultured organism. RNAcentral describes it as "bacterial SSU rRNA". It matches the Rfam family "Bacterial small subunit ribosomal RNA", at positions 105 to 1131 of the family's 1533-position model. The record is from RNAcentral.
GGUGCGUAACGCGUAUACAAUCUGCCCUUUACUAAGGGAUAGCCCAUGGAAACCUGGAUUAAUAUCUUAUAGUAUCAGGAGGUCGCAUGGCCACUUGUUUAAAGGUUACGGUAAAGGAUGAGUAUGCCUCCUAUUAGCUAUUAUGUAGGGUAACGGCCUACAUAGGCGAUGAUAGGUAGGGGUUCUGAGAGGGAGAUCCCCCACACUGGUACUGAGCCACGGACCAAAUCAAUACGGGAGGCAGCAGUGAGGAAUAUUGGACAAUGGGAGCAAUCCUGAUCCAGCCAUGCCGCGUGCAGGAAGACGGUCCUAUGGAUUGUAAACUGCUUUUAUACAGGAAGAAAAAGCCCGACGAGUCGGGUGUUGACGGUACUGUAUGAAUAAGGAUCGGCUAACUCCGUGCCAGCAGCCGCGGUAAUACGGAGGAUCCGAGCGUUAUCCGGAAUUAUUGGGUUUAAAGGGUCCGUAGGCGGGAUAAUAAGUCAGUGGUGAAAGUUUGUGGCUCAACCAUAAAAUUGCCAUUGAUACUGUUAUUCUUGAGUAAUUGUGAAGUGGUUAGAAUGUGUAGUGUAGCGGUGAAAUGCAUAGAUAUUACACAGAAUACCAAUUGCGAAGGCAGAUCACUAACAAUUAACUGACGCUGAUGGACGAAAGCGUAGGUAGCGAACAGGAUUAGAUACCCUGGUAGUCUACGCAGUAAACGAUGGUUACUAGCUGUUUGGUCUAAUUGAGGGCUAAGUGGCUAAGCGAAAGUGAUAAGUAACCCACCUGGGGAGUACGUUCGCAAGAAUGAAACUCAAAGGAAUUGACGGGGGCCCGCACAAGCGGUGGAGCAUGUGGUUUAAUUCGAUGAUACGCGAGGAACCUUACCAGGGCUUAAAUGCAGUCUGACAGGGGUAGAAAUACCUUUUUCUUCGGACAGAUUGCAAGGUGCUGCAUGGUUGUCGUCAGCUCGUGCCGUGAGGUGUCAGGUUAAGUCCUAUAUCGAGCGCAACCCCUAUGGUUAGUUGCUAGCAGGUCAUGC